GUAUGCGAUCAGAAGAAGGAGCCAGGAGAGCUCAAACCCUAGUUCACCAAAUCCUCCAAAUCGAAGCUCAAAUCAAGCCCGAAUCGUCUGCUUGAUUACAAAUUCGUGAUCGCCUAGUCGUGGGGAUCAUAAGUUGACUCUAAACAAGCUAGGUGGGAGCUUGAAAAGGAACGGGUCAAACGGAUCAUGGAUGCGAAGAAUGUUUGCGCGGACGCGAGGGUAAAACGGCUUAUGGAAUUUACGUGGCUAUGAAUCAGCAAAUUAUUAAGGCAAGGUAUUAAAACGGGUCAAUACUUUGACCCGCGCCAGGUACAUUUUGGAUGCCGGAAGACGAUCAAGCUCGACGAAGGACCGAACACAAUAUAGAUACAUGCUUCCGCACUUUAACACUUUGCAAAUUUUAAACAACGAAUUCAACCACGUUAUGUAGAAUAACUUAUGAAUUGUAAAAGUUUUAAUAAAUUCGUAUUUUUAUAGUAUGUGUAGGCUUAACUACACAUCUAAUUGUUGGUGUUUACAUAUAAAAUUGUUAAUUAGUAACUAGGGUGUUACAAGUUGGUAUCAGAGCCCUGGUUUAAGAGAUUCAAGUAUGGUGGGGAAAACCAUGCUUGGAAUUAAACCUUAUGCUCUUGACAAAGAUUGGUGUUCGGUUCGAGGCUUGAUCGCAAAUCUGGUAAGUACAUCUAUGCUAAUAGUUUAGCAUGCUAAAGUGUUGUAAACAACACAUGGGGUUAUCGUGUGAUACACGUUACCUCAAUUAAGCGAUAAAUGUAGUUGACAAAGUUACGCGUGUUGACACAUAUAGUACAAAAGUCUUGUAUUAUGAUACGGGCAUUUAGUAAAGUUGACAUUACUAACUUUUGUGAAUGUCUUGAUUUAAGGACACUUGCGUUUAAAGAUGACAAAGGUUAAACAAAUUAAAGAUGUGAUAGAGGAACAGUCCGAGGCAUGACGAGAGGAACAUGCUCACUAAGGACUAAAUCGCGUAAAGACCGCGAACAAGGUUAAUGGCAAGAAACGCCCGUCGGGGCAAGCAUUAUCAGGUACGUGCUUUUAAAUAUAAUCGCGCAAUUAGCAAUGUGCAACAAACAUGUAAAGAAUGAUUGUCGCAUAUGUAAAUUAGAAACUUGAGAAACCUGAAUAGAAUACCUAUCCAGGAUAUUAUCUCCAAGAAAACUAAAUAGAGGUGUUACUUACAUGGGGUGUGAUGU
Helianthus annuus (common sunflower) is the source of this 1211-nucleotide long non-coding RNA. RefSeq lists it as uncharacterized. The transcript has 4 exons. NCBI's taxonomy places the organism in Eukaryota, Viridiplantae, Streptophyta, Magnoliopsida, Asterales, Asteraceae. The record is from RefSeq and is a predicted model, not a curated record.